Quercus robur (English oak) is the source of this 267-nucleotide long non-coding RNA. RefSeq lists it as uncharacterized. The record is from RefSeq and is a predicted model, not a curated record. NCBI's taxonomy places the organism in Eukaryota, Viridiplantae, Streptophyta, Magnoliopsida, Fagales, Fagaceae. The transcript is spliced from 2 exons.
UCAGGAAGACCAUCAGGAAUGGUUUCGAACUGAAAGGAGGGAAGGGCAUUGAGAGAGUCGGGACCUCUGGAUUUUAACAGACGCUUAUGGUUGUACUCUGUGUUUACAAAGGUGAUAUGAAAGCCUUUGUAGUGAAGGAUUUUUGCUAGCUUUAGCAUGGGGUUUAUGUGGCCUUGAGCUGGGUAGGGGACACAAACUGCAUGGGGUUUCUCUGCAAAAGCUAGGGAACCCAUUUUCUUUCUCUCUUUCUAAGACCUAAUCCAGUAA